CUUGAUUACAAUAAACAAGAUACAUUCCUAAAUUCAUUUCAUAUGAAGGCUGAUAACUUGGUGGUCAGAAAAACAGAAGGCUCUUCUCCUCAGUCCAGCACUGUAGACUUUUGGAACUUGUUCUGAAAUCUGCUUCUUCAUUACAGAAAUAAGAAAACAAAUGUGGUUUCCACUUGACCUAGACAACAGAGUUCUGUAUACUUUAUAUGAGAAAUUUUGGGGUUUUUUUGUUGUCUCUUCAGGUUAUUAUCCCAAAGAUGUUGAGACAGCAUUACUUGAUUUCUCUGCCAUGUACAGUUGGUUUGUGGAGAGUUCACUUGCGCGUGUAUUUUUUUCACUUUCAGGCACUGGCUUUAUUGUUUACAAAAAGGAAGGAAUGGUUUGACAUCUAUGAGAGCAACACAGUAAAACACAACUGUAUGCACUGGGCAACUGAGAUACUGUUGCCAGGUUACUUAAUUUGAGCAGUGUCUACACCUAUCACAGAACAUUCCUCUCAGAAAUCUUCCUGAAGCUUCCUAGUGGAACAGCUUCCACUAAAGAAGAACUAAACUAAGGUCAAAAUUUGCUUUAAAAACCACUUUUUUAUAUUCAAG
This 596-nucleotide long non-coding RNA is filed under the name Cyanistes caeruleus (blue tit). RNAcentral's name for it is "lncRNA (ENSCCEG00000015097.1)". The record is from RNAcentral. Lineage: Eukaryota; Metazoa; Chordata; Aves; Passeriformes; Paridae.